UUAUGGCUACGUAGCGGUUCAAAUUUGAUAAAUUGGAAUGGGCUGGACUGAAAGGCUGAGCUAAUAAAUGGAUUCUCAAAGUUGGGCAUGUUGAACAGAUUAUGAGCUAAUUUUGCCACCCGUGGUGAUUUGAUAAUUGAUCAGAUAAUUGUGCCAUGUGAUGCGCAUAUAUAAUUGGGUUGAAGGGACACGAUGUCGAGCAGCUAUGGAGAUGGAUAUGCAACAAGAUCAGAUGAGGAAGGUUUUGGAGGCAUCUAUGGCGGAAACAAAGAGGACGAGUAAAAUAUUAAACAUGGCAAAGCCCCUGAGUAUGAUACUAAACAAGGAAGUGAAGUCGGCGAGAAGGAGAAGGCUCGUAACCAGCAUCAAGUAGCAUGAAGUGAAAAUUGUCCUGCCUUGUGUUAAAUAUUUACUUUUUCUUGGUGACUUGAUAGAUGUGUACUAAUAAGGUUUAGUAUGUAACUAGUGGACACGUUCGCACUGUGAUAAAAAACAUAUUUAGAAUUA
Capsicum annuum is the source of this 507-nucleotide long non-coding RNA. RefSeq lists it as uncharacterized. NCBI's taxonomy places the organism in Eukaryota, Viridiplantae, Streptophyta, Magnoliopsida, Solanales, Solanaceae. The transcript is spliced from 3 exons. The record is from RefSeq and is a predicted model, not a curated record.